AUGCAUGACUGUUGUGGUUGCUCUCUCAGUGAUAGAGAGCAGAGAUAUGAAGCCAUGCUAGAAUAACAUGCUUUGAGUUAUCAGGGCCACCAGUCUCUCAAGAACAGAUUGGGUUGGUAGUAUAAAACUCACACAUUA
This is a small nucleolar RNA of Carassius auratus (goldfish), 138 nucleotides long. Ensembl annotates it as small nucleolar RNA U109. Lineage: Eukaryota; Metazoa; Chordata; Actinopteri; Cypriniformes; Cyprinidae. The record is from Ensembl.